Molecule: non-coding RNA, 21 nt
Filed under: Caenorhabditis elegans
Lineage: Eukaryota; Metazoa; Nematoda; Chromadorea; Rhabditida; Rhabditidae
Source: RNAcentral
UGCCAAGUAAAUUGAAAUUCA